This 574-nucleotide ribosomal RNA is filed under the name uncultured bacterium. RNAcentral's name for it is "bacterial SSU rRNA". It matches the Rfam family "Bacterial small subunit ribosomal RNA", at positions 8 to 633 of the family's 1533-position model. The record is from RNAcentral.
AGAGUUUGAUCCUGGCUCAGAACGAACGCUGGCGGCAGGCUUAACACAUGCAAGUCGAACGCCCCGCAAGGGGAGUGGCAGACGGGUGAGUAACGCGUGGGAACGUGCCCUUCGCUUCGGAAUAGCCCCGGGAAACUGGGAGUAAUACCGGAUACGCCGUAUUGGGAAAGAUUUAUCGGCGAAGGAUCGGCCCGCGUUAGAUUAGCUAGUUGGCGGUGUAAUGGACCACCAAGGCUACGAUCUAUAGCUGGUCUGAGAGGAUGAUCAGCCACACUGGGACUGAGACACGGCCCAGACUCCUACGGGAGGCAGCAGUGGGGAAUCUUGGACAAUGGGCGCAAGCCUGAUCCAGCCAUGCCGCGUGAGUGAAGAAGGCCUUAGGGUUGUAAAACUCUUUCGCCGGAGAAGAUAAUGACGGUAUCCGGAGAAGAAGCCCCGGCUAACUUCGUGCCAGCAGCCGCGGUAAUACGAAGGGGGCUAGCGUUGUUCGGAAUUACUGGGCGUAAAGCGCACGUAGGCGGGUUUGUAAGUACGGCUACCUUGUUACGACUUAGAGUCUGAGCCAGGAUCAAAC